RNAcentral lists this ribosomal RNA (605 nucleotides) under uncultured bacterium. Its description in RNAcentral is "bacterial SSU rRNA". It matches the Rfam family "Bacterial small subunit ribosomal RNA", at positions 94 to 697 of the family's 1533-position model. The record is from RNAcentral.
AGUGGCGCACGGGUGAGUAACGCGUAUGCAACCUACCUGUAACAGAGGGAUAGCCCAUAGAAAUGUGGAUUAACACCUCAUAGUUCUUAUUAGUCGCAUGACUGAAAAGAUAAAACUCCGGUGGUUACAGAUGGGCAUGCGUGACAUUAGCUAGUUGGUAAGGUAACGGCUUACCAAGGCUACGAUGUCUAGGGGUUCUGAGAGGAUGAUCCCCCACACUGGUACUGAGACACGGACCAGACUCCUACGGGAGGCAGCAGUGAGGAAUAUUGGUCAAUGGGCGCAAGCCUGAACCAGCCAUCCCGCGUGCAGGAUGACGGCCCUAUGGGUUGUAAACUGCUUUUAUACACCAAGAAAAAUCCCCACGUGUGGGGACCCGACGGUAGUGUAUGAAUAAGCAUCGGCUAACUCCGUGCCAGCAGCCGCGGUAAUACGGAGGAUGCAAGCGUUAUCCGGAUUCAUUGGGUUUAAAGGGUGCGUAGGCGGCUUUUUAAGUCAGUGGUGAAAUCCUGCCGCUUAACGGUAGAAUUGCCAUUGAUACUGAAAAGCUUGAGUACAUUUGAGGUAAGCGGAAUGUGUAGUGUAGCGGUGAAAUGCUUAGAUAU